CGCGUUGGGAGCUCUCCCAUAUGGUCGACCUGCAGGCGGCCGCGAAUUCACUAGUGAUUCGUAUUACCGCGGCUGCUGGCACGUAGUUAGCCGGUGCUUAUUCUUCAGGUACCGUCAUUAGCCAAGGGUAUUAUCCUCAGCCGUUUCUUCCCUGACAAAAGAGCUUUACAACCCGAAGGCCUUCUUCACUCACGCGGCAUUGCUGGAUCAGGCUUGCGCCCAUUGUCCAAAAUUCCCCACUGCUGCCUCCCGUAGGAGUCUGGACCGUGUCUCAGUUCCAGUGUGGCUGGUCGUCCUCUCAGACCAGCUACUGAUCGUCGCCUUGGUAGGCCUUUACCCUACCAACUAGCUAAUCAGAUAUCGGCCGCUCCACAAGCAUGAGGCCCGAAGGUCCCCCACUUUCAUCCGUAGAUCGUAUGCGGUAUUAGCGUAACUUUCGCUACGUUAUCCCCCACUUCUGGGUACGUUCCGAUAUAUUACUCACCCGUUCGCCACUCGCCGCCAGGUUGCCCCGCGCUGCCGUUCGACUUGCAUGUGUAAAGCAUGCCGCCAGCGUUCAAUCUGAGCCAUGAUCAAACUCUAAUCGAAUUCCCGCGGCCGCC
Molecule: ribosomal RNA, 602 nt
Filed under: uncultured beta proteobacterium
Lineage: Bacteria; Pseudomonadati; Pseudomonadota; Betaproteobacteria
Description: partial 16S ribosomal RNA
Source: RNAcentral